Molecule: ribosomal RNA, 459 nt
Filed under: uncultured bacterium
Lineage: Bacteria
Description: partial 16S ribosomal RNA
Rfam family: Bacterial small subunit ribosomal RNA
Source: RNAcentral
CCUACGGGAGACUGCAGUGAGGAAUAUUGGUCAAUGGGCGUAAGCCUGAACCAGCCAAGUCGCGUGAGGGAUGAAGGUUCUAUGGAUCGUAAACCUCUUUUGUCAGGGAACAAAGGCGGGGACUAGUCCCCGGAUGAGGGUACCUGAAGAAAAAGCAUCGGCUAACUCCGUGCCAGCAGCCGCGGUAAUACGGAGGAUGCGAGCGUUAUCCGGAUUUAUUGGGUUUAAAGGGUGCGCAGGCGGCCUGUUAAGUCAGCGGUAAAAGCCCGGGGCUCAACCCCGGCGAGCCUUUGAAACUGGCGGGCUGGAUUUGGAGAGAAGUACGCGGAAUGCGCGGUGUAGCGGUGAAAUGCUUAGAUAUCGCGCAGAACCCCGAUUGCGAAGGCAGCGUACCGGCUCCACACUGACGCUGAGGCACGAAAGCGUGGGUAUCGAACAGGAUUAGAAACCCGGGUAGUC